Molecule: ribosomal RNA, 527 nt
Filed under: uncultured Actinomyces sp.
Lineage: Bacteria; Bacillati; Actinomycetota; Actinomycetes; Actinomycetales; Actinomycetaceae
Description: bacterial SSU rRNA
Rfam family: Bacterial small subunit ribosomal RNA
Source: RNAcentral
UAUCCGUCGGCGUACAGGACGAACGCUGGCGGCCGUGCUUAACACACUGCGAAGUCGAACGGGGCCGUGCCUGGCUUUGGUUGGGUGGGGUGAGUGGCGAACGGGUGAGUAACACGUGAGUAACCUGCCCUCUUCUCUUGGAUAACUGCUUGAAAGGGCGGCGUAAUACGGGAUGUUCUGGCUGCCUCGCAUGGGUGGUUUGGAAAGAUUCGGCCUGGUUUUUGGUUGUUUUUGGUGGGGGAUGGGCUCGCGGCUUAUCAGCUUGUUGGUGGGGUGAUGGCCUACCAAGGCGGUGACGGGUAGCCGGCCUGAGAGGGUGGACGGUCACACUGGGACUGAGACACGGCCCAGACUCCUGCGGGAGGCAGCAGUGGGGGAUUUUGCACAAUGGGCGCAAGCCUGAUGCAGCGACGCCGCGUGAGGGAUGGAGGCCUUCGGGUUGUGAACCUCUGUCGCCGGUGAUGUAGGCCCUGCUUUGUGGGUGGGGUUGACGGUAGCCGGGGUAUGAAGUGCCGGCUAACUACGUG